UCGAUCAAUAUCGAGCGAAAUGGCAGAUGGAACAGGAAGCAGACGUCCGUACAAAAACUACCUUGACCAAGAUGUAGAUCUAAUUGAUUUUGACGAAGAAGAUAGUUGUAAGCUUCUCCCUCGCAGUACAGCUCACAAUAGAAAAAGGAAGGCUAGUAGGCCUACUGUAGUCGAAACAGAUUCAGAAUUAGAGUCGGAUGAACUUGAUCUUGAGUCAAUGAUCUCCACAUGUAGCUCUAGCUCUACACCCACGACUAUUAACAUUAGGCACGAUCGAGAGGAUGAGCUCGACCAUGAAGAAGCUGAUCGUGAGCAUCAAGCUAACUUUGUUAGUGGCAGUGCACACGACAAUGCUGAAAACACAGACACCGGCCCCGACGAUCACGAUGAUGGAACUGAUCAUGGAGCUAUGCCCAUGGAUGGGGCAGUGCCAGUGGCAAUGGACCCAGUCCCAGAAUUGAUUGAAGAAGAAUCUCACAAUGUCCAUGAUGCAGGGCCUCUACAUGUACCUGAAGAAGGCGGCAUACUUGGUAUCAUUCUGGAUGAAUUUCAUCAGCUGCAGAAUGAAGCAGACGAGAGCGAUGGAGGUGAAUUUUCAGAGGUGGAAGAACCUGAAGCAGAUGCUGGACAAUGUGAACCAGAUGCUGGACACUGCCAAGAGGACGGAGGUAACAUUCACGUGCCAGGUGGUGAUGAACCAGUUUCAAGUGAAGGUAAUGACCUAACUAAAAUGGACAGUCUCCUGGCUGUUUUAAGUUUUGCUGUGAAUCAUCAUCUUUCAGGCGUGGGUCUUCAAGAUCUUAUAUCAUUAAUAAAUUUACAUUGUCCUAACACUCUGCCUUCUUCAAAAUACUUGUUUGGCAAUUCAACAACAGAUUACAGAGGUGUCUGUGAAUUCCAUUUCUAUUGUCAACUAUGUAAGCAAUAUGUUGGGAAACUCCAUGAUACUCCAGACAGUUGUCCAGAUUGCAAUGCAGCAUUUGACCAUAAUCAAAACAUGAGGAAUGGUACGUUUUUUAUGGUCUUGCCUCUCACUCAGCAGCUGAAGCAUUUGUUAGAACAUACUGAAGUAGGGGAGAAACUUGUUAAUAGAUUGCAACAGAAUAAUGAUCAAGUAGACAUUUCUGAUAUUGUAGAUGGUGAUCUUUAUAAGAAUUUUGCCAAAGACCACAUGCCCACCACAGAUGAUUUUAGUCUUUUGUGGAACACUGAUGGCGUACCCAUCUUUAAGUCGUCCAAGAGUUCCAUAUGGCCAGUCCUAUGUUCUAUCAAUGAACUACCAAUAAGAAUUCGGAAGGAUAAUAUUCUCCUAACAGCCCUAUGGUUCGGGGACGAGAAACCUAAUAUGAAGCUCUUUCUAAAACCAUUUGUGCAAGAGUGCAAUGCCUUGUCGAGCGUGGGCCUAGAGUGGCAGUUUAGGAAUGAAAAAAAAAGGUCCAAAGUCUUCUGUUUGAUGUGCUCUGUUGAUACCGUAGCUCGACCUUUGCUGAGGAACAUGGUCCAAUUUAAUGGAUAUUAUGGUUGUGGGUUUUGCCAACAGAAGGGAGAGUACUCACAUAAUGCCAUGAAAUAUCCAUAUGAAAACCCCCCUGCCCCAGAAAGAAAUGAGCGUCAGACACAAGAGCAGAGUGUUCUUGCGGAACAAACAGGAAGAAGUAUAGAGGGAGUUAAAGGCGUGAGCAUUUUAUCCUUUUUGACUUUUUUCAAUCUUAUUACUAGCUUUAUACCUGAUUACAUGCAUUCCGUUUGCCUUGGGACUGUUAAACGUAUAGUUAGUGCAUGGCUUGAUCCGAGCAACAGAAAUAAGGACUUUUAUAUAGGUACUAAGAAAGAGGAAAUAAACCAAAAAAUCAGAUGCGUAAAGGGAACAAAAGAAAUAACAAGGUUACCUAGGUCUCUUAAUAUGAUGAAAUUUUGGAAAGCAAACGAGUGGAGGGCUUUCAUUUAUUUUUCCCCUAUUGUAUUGAAAGGUAUCCUUCCAUCAAGAUACUUGGCACAUUGGUCAAUGCUUGUGUUGGCAAUCUUCCAUCUAAACUCGACUAAAAUUACUAGAGAAAGACUAGUACAAUGCAGAUUUUUGUUGAGGAAGUUUGUUUUAUUUGUGGAACCCCUUUACAGUAAGAAAGAACUCACAUUCAAUGUCCAUCUUCUUCUACAUCUGACUGACAGUGUUCAGAAUUGGGGGCCCUUAUGGGCAACUUCUGCCUUUUCUUUUGAAUCGUUCAAUGGUUUCAUGAAAAAGCUUUUUGCUGGCACAAGAUAUUUGCCUCAACAGAUAUUUCAGUCGAUGUGCCGAAUUCAGGAUCUUCAAUCCAACAUGGCCAGAAUAUCAUCGAAUGCCACUUAUGAAUAUAUUGCAAAUAUGAUGAGGGGACAUCAGUUACUAAAACAUGCACAAAGAAUUAGAUGUGGGCUAGAUGAAGUAGUUUUUCUAGGAUGUUCUAAAUAUUUGACUUUAACUCAGAUUUACAAGACUAUGCUAGAAGAUCUCUUGGGAGAGAAUCUGCUUAUUGACAGAGUGGAAUGUUUUGACAGAUUCAUUUUUAAUAACACACUUUUCACAACAAAAGAAUAUUCUUCGAAAUUCAGACGUAUUGAUUCGCUUAUUGGUAAUCUUGGUGGUAGUGUGUUUGAAGUACUUCAUCUGUUUGCCUUUCAAAAUCACAACUGUGUAAAUGUUAAUUGUGGAUGCACCCAACAUACUGUUGUUUUGGUGCAAAAACUGGAUGUGGUAAACAUGCUCACGUUUCAGGAUAGCUGUGAAAUAGGAUGCACUAUAGACUUUAUUACUGAGGUGACUAGGGGUGCCCUAAGUGUUAUGCAUUGUAGUGAUAUCUAUACUAAAUGCAUGUCAGUAAAGAUUGAUGCAACUGAAUAUGUUAUUUGUCUACCUAAUUUGGUUGAGGGGGAUUAAAGGUGACCUGUAUGUUGAAUACUGGCAGUGCCAUUGUAAUUUGAGAGAAACUGUCAUUGAGGUUGUAGCAACAACAGAAUUAUGAUGAAAUUCAAAAUUAGGAAUUCAACAUCUCAAAUACACACAUACAUGUAUGGGAUGAGAUGAAACCUGAUGAUGCAUAAUGAUUUGUUCCCAGUUAAAUGAUGGCAAUUCCUCUUGUGUUAAAUUACAUGUAUAUGAUUCAUGAUGAAUUACAGGUCAUUUUUUAAACCUCUAGUAAGGUAUUGCUGGGCCCUGUAAAAUGCAUUUGCUAGCAUUCUUAUAUUUUCAAGUUGAUGAAUAGGGAUAUACAUGUACUAAAAAUUCUUAAAAAGAAAUAAGCAAAUAAUAGUAAAAUAAUGACACCUGGUUGUAUUUCUGAAGUAGCUUCUGUUUUGUUUGUUUUUUAAUUUUUUUUGUUAACCUUGUCAAAUAUUUUCACAGAAAUAUUUCAGUAAAUAGCUUUUGUUAGGAUGUUGAUAUUUACAAGACAAAUGGGAUUACACAUUACAGGAUAGACUGAUUUACUUUUAAAACACUGACCGCCAUAACUUGGGGGCUUCCAAAUACAAAAGGAAAGAUUCUUCAGUGAGUCAGGUGCUAGUUGUGACAUCAGUGCACAACCUUUCUUUUAUUCAGCAAGCUUGAAGCCCCCCCCCCCCCCAUUAACACUGUAUGGCUGAUAUAGAUAUUAACAUAAAAAACAGCAACCAAACGAUCACUGUAUAUUUCUUUAGAUUAUUUUUUAAUAAUUGACAUUACUGUAUAUGUCCUUUUGGGUGAAAGAUUUUCAAUUAAAAUUCCUAUUGUUGUUUGGGAGAACCUAUGCCUUCUUCAAAUUCUUUUGAAAGCGAACAGACACAAAUACAUGUACAGAUAAAAAUUGAGGUCCUCAACUCCUCAUUUUAAUUUAUGGCUACUUUUAUGUACUUUUAUGUAUGCAAUUUAUGCACCUAUGCCAAGCCAACAUGUAUGUGUUCCUUUUGACGUUGCAAGUUCUUGCAAGUAUGCGCUGAUCACAGUGUUCAAGGUCUUAUUUACAUUGAUAGAAACUACUGUAAUGUCACCAUCGUCACUGUUCCUAUUAUUCUUGUCACUAUAGAUUGAAAAUUUGUUUGAUUUGGGGCUACAUUAUGAAUUUUUAAAACUAGCUGCGUGCAAGUCCUUAUAAUCAGACAAGAGACAGAACUUGCUGGACAUGUAAGAAAAUCGGUACAAAUUGAAUAGCCUUUUUGCUCUCAUGUACAUGUAGUAAUAGUUGUUAAAUGUUUUUAAGCUUAAAUAUGCUUGAGAUGAUAUGAUGCAUAUCUACCAUUUUCAUAUUAAACAAAAUUUGUGCAAAUUACAAAUAGGCCUGUGAACAUUGGAGUAAACUGUUGUUGUAGUCUUGUUUGAUUGUAUUCAUGCAGACUGUAAUUCUUUUAAUUUGUGAAGUUCAAUGCUCAGGUUACAAUUUUUAAGAGACAUUUUGAAACAUGGUCAAGAAUCAUGCAUUGAUAUAUUCAUAAUACUUUUACUUCAAAGCAUUAUUCCGCAAAUAAAAAAACAAUUGACUGUAUAUUUUAUAAUUUGGUCAAAGUCUAUCAGUUCGCUGUACAUGGACAAGACAGUUAUGUAUCCAUUCGAAUUUAAUUUAUUUCAGUAAUGGUGUAGUUUCAAUAAAAAAAAGUUUCACAGUACACAGACCAAAUUGAACACGCUUUUAUAACAAUCAACAUGAAAUGAUUUAUUCCAGUACAAAAAUAGUUCAAAUUGCACACUAUAAUUGUUAUAUACCAUGGGUUCCAUUUGAUAAAUUACAAAUCAUGGAUAUAAAAUGCAUUUAUUAAAAAGCUGCUGUAAAACCAU
RNAcentral lists this long non-coding RNA (4783 nucleotides) under Strongylocentrotus purpuratus (purple sea urchin). RNAcentral describes it as "uncharacterized LOC100893713". The record is from RNAcentral. Lineage: Eukaryota; Metazoa; Echinodermata; Echinoidea; Camarodonta; Strongylocentrotidae.